UCCACAUGAAUGCACCAGCUGAGAGUGUCAGGGAUGUGGUUGCCGGAUACCCAAAGAUACCCCCAACCACGCCCACUGUACAUGCUGCAGCUCGUCGUACUGCCACUGUAUACUAAGUAAUCUCUCGGUCUUAAAAUAAACCAAUUUUUUAUUUUUAUCUAUAAUUUUUGACUUUUCGUCUUAUUUAAUUUUUUAUGUGAAUUAUAUUUUUUAUUAGAUGAUAAAUCAUGAGUAGUACUUUACGUGUUUAUUUUUAUUAGAUGAUAAAUCAUAAAUAGUAUUUUACGUGUGACUAAUUUUUUUAAUUUCCUAAAAAUUUUUCAAAUAAAACAGAUGAUAAAACGUUGCACACGAAAAUCGAAGAAUUGGUUUUUUUAACAGAGGGGUACUCCUAGACAGCAAGAUUGGCAAAUGGCAGCAGCAUUGCAUUUGCCUUUCUUUCUUUUUUAUUUUUUCCCCUUUCUAUUACACUGCACAUCUACACUUUGGUCAUUUGCUCAUCUUUGGUUUGUGGUGGUUUGGUUGUUGGCUGUAGGAGCAGCAGCAAGAGCAGUGAAACGGGAGUAAUAAAGGUUUGCAGCAGGAUCCACACUGGCUUCCUUUGCUCUCCUGUUUGUGCUGCUGCAUCUCUCGUCUCUCUGACAGAGAAGCACAGGGCGUGGCUGUCUGUCACUGUGGUCUGGGUCUGGGUCUGGGCAAUUUUCUUUUUU
Molecule: long non-coding RNA, 710 nt
Filed under: Oryza brachyantha (malo sina)
Lineage: Eukaryota; Viridiplantae; Streptophyta; Magnoliopsida; Poales; Poaceae
Description: long non-coding RNA (OBRA_LNC002891)
Source: RNAcentral